RNAcentral lists this ribosomal RNA (497 nucleotides) under uncultured bacterium. Its description in RNAcentral is "partial 16S ribosomal RNA". It matches the Rfam family "Bacterial small subunit ribosomal RNA", at positions 28 to 507 of the family's 1533-position model. The record is from RNAcentral.
GACGAACGCUGGCGGCGUGCCUAAUACAUGCAAGUUGAGCGCUGAAGGUUGGUACUUGUACCAACUGGAUGAGCAGCGAACGGGUGAGUAACGCGUGGGGAAUCUGCCUUUGAGCGGGGGACAACAUUUGGGAACGAAUGCUAAUACCGCAUAAAAACUUUAAACACAAGUUUUAAGUUUGAAAGAUGCAAUUGCAUCACUCAAAGAUGAUCCCGCGUUGUAUUAGCUAGUUGGUGAGGUAAAGGCUCACCAAGGCGAUGAUACAUAGCCGACCUGAGAGGGUGAUCGGCCACAUUGGGACUGAGACACGGCCCAAACUCCUACGGGAGGCAGCAGUAGGGAAUCUUCGGCAAUGGACGAAAGUCUGACCGAGCAACGCCGCGUGAGUGAAGAAGGUUUUCGGAUCGUAAAACUCUGUUGGUAGAGGAGAACGUUGGUGAGAGUGGAAAGCUCAUCAAGUGACGGUAACUACCCAGAAAGGGACGGCUAACUACGUG